GUGGGUAUAGCUCAGUGGUAAAGCACAUACUUAGCAUGCGUGAGGUCCUGGGGUCAAUACCCAGUACCUCCA
RNAcentral lists this transfer RNA (72 nucleotides) under Camelus ferus (Wild Bactrian camel). It matches the Rfam family "tRNA". Rfam says of the family: Transfer RNA (tRNA) molecules are approximately 80 nucleotides in length. Their secondary structure includes four short double-helical elements and three loops (D, anti-codon, and T loops). Further hydrogen bonds mediate the characteristic L-shaped molecular structure. tRNAs have two regions of fundamental functional importance: the anti-codon, which is responsible for specific mRNA codon recognition, and the 3' end, to which the tRNAs corresponding amino acid is attached (by aminoacyl-tRNA synthetases). tRNAs cope with the degeneracy of the genetic code in two manners: having more than one tRNA (with a specific anti-codon) for a particular amino acid; and 'wobble' base-pairing, i.e. permitting non-standard base-pairing at the 3rd anti-codon position. Lineage: Eukaryota; Metazoa; Chordata; Mammalia; Artiodactyla; Camelidae. The record is from Rfam by way of RNAcentral.